GACGAACGCUGGCGGCGUGCUUAACACAUGCAAGUCGAACGGAAAGGCCCUGCUUUUGUGGGGUGCUCGAGUGGCGAACGGGUGAGUAACACGUGAGUAACCUGCCCUUGACUUUGGGAUAACUUCAGGAAACUGGGGCUAAUACCGGAUAGGAGCUCCUGCUGCAUGGUGGGGGUUGGAAAGUUUCGGCGGUUGGGGAUGGACUCGCGGCUUAUCAGCUUGUUGGUGGGGUAGUGGCUUACCAAGGCUUUGACGGGUAGCCGGCCUGAGAGGGUGACCGGCCACAUUGGGACUGAGAUACGGCCCAGACUGCUACGGGAGGCAGCAGAGGGGAAUAUUGCACAAUGGGCGGAAGCCUGAUGCAGCAACGCCGCGUGCGGGAUGACGGCCUGCGGGUUGUAAACCGCUUUAGCCUGUGACGAAGCGUGAGUGACGGUAAUGGGUAAAGAAGCACCGGCUAACUACGUG
This 468-nucleotide ribosomal RNA is filed under the name uncultured bacterium. Its description in RNAcentral is "partial 16S ribosomal RNA". It matches the Rfam family "Bacterial small subunit ribosomal RNA", at positions 28 to 507 of the family's 1533-position model. The record is from RNAcentral.